This 252-nucleotide ribosomal RNA is filed under the name uncultured Bacteroidales bacterium. Its description in RNAcentral is "partial 16S ribosomal RNA". It matches the Rfam family "Bacterial small subunit ribosomal RNA", at positions 524 to 776 of the family's 1533-position model. The record is from RNAcentral. Lineage: Bacteria; Pseudomonadati; Bacteroidota; Bacteroidia; Bacteroidales.
UACGUAGGGGGCAAGCGUUAUCCGGAUUUACUGGGUGUAAAGGGUGCGUAGGCGGGCUGUUAAGUCAGCGGUAAAAGCCCGGGGCUCAACCCCGGCCCGCCGUUGAAACUGGCAGUCUCGAGUUGGAGAGAAGUAUGCGGAAUGCGCGGUGUAGCGGUGAAAUGCAUAGAUAUCACGCAGAACUCCGAUUGCGAAGGCAGCAUACCGGCGCUCAACUGACGCUGAGGCACGAAAGCGUGGGGAUCGAACAGG